GCAUGCCUACAACAUAGAAUUAAUGCACUGGAUCCCAUUAGAACUUCGUAGUUAAUCAUGGUCAGGAUAGAGUAGUACUAGGAUGGGUGACUGCCUGGGAAAUCCUAGUGUUUUACAUGCC
This is a non-coding RNA of Picea glauca (white spruce), 121 nucleotides long. The record is from Rfam. Lineage: Eukaryota; Viridiplantae; Streptophyta; Pinopsida; Pinales; Pinaceae.